UGGGGAAUAUUGCACAAUGGGCGAAAGCCUGAUGCAGCAAUGCCGCGUGUGUGAAGAAGGCCUGCGGGUUGUAAAGCACUUUCGGUAGGGAAGAUUAUGACGGUACCUACAGAAGAAGCACCGGCUAACUCCGUGCCAGCAGCCGCGGUAAUACGGAGGGUGCGAGCGUUAAUCGGAAUUACUGGGCGUAAAGAGCGCGUAGGCGGUCUCGUAAGUCGGAUGUGAAAGCCCCGGGCUUAACCUGGGAAUUGCAUUCGAUACUGCGGGACUAGAGUAUGGUAGAGGGAAGCGGAAUUCCGGGUGUAGCGGUGAAAUGCGUAGAUAUCCGGAGGAACACCAGUGGCGAAGGCGGCUUCCUGGACCAAUACUGACGCUGAGGCGCGAAAGCGUGGGGAGCAAACAGG
RNAcentral lists this ribosomal RNA (404 nucleotides) under uncultured bacterium. RNAcentral describes it as "bacterial SSU rRNA". It matches the Rfam family "Bacterial small subunit ribosomal RNA", at positions 355 to 776 of the family's 1533-position model. The record is from RNAcentral.